Molecule: small RNA, 103 nt
Filed under: Paenibacillus sp.
Lineage: Bacteria; Bacillati; Bacillota; Bacilli; Caryophanales; Paenibacillaceae
Description: Guanidine-I sequence
Rfam family: Guanidine-I riboswitch aptamer
About the family: This family represents a conserved RNA structure found upstream of the ykkC and yxkD genes in Bacillus subtilis and related genes in other bacteria. The function of this family is unclear although it has been suggested that it may function to switch on efflux pumps and detoxification systems in response to harmful environmental molecules.
Source: RNAcentral
CAUGUCGUUUUCUAGGGUUCCGUGGCGUUCAUCGCCAGACUGGUCCAAGGGGAAACACACAGCGAAUACGCUGUGGUCACGGAGGGGAAAAAGCCCGGGAGUC